GACGAACGCUGGCGGCGUGCUUAACACAUGCAAGUCGAACGCUGAAGCUUGGGUGCUUGCAUCUGGGUGGAUGAGUGGCGAACGGGUGAGUAAUACGUGAGUAACCUGCCCUUGACUCUGGGAUAAGCCUGGGAAACUGGGUCCAAUACUGGAUACUACAUUCUCUCGCAUGGGGGUGUGUGGAAAGGGAUUUACUGGUUUUGGAUGGGCUCACGGCCUAUCAGCUUGUUGGUGGGGUAAUGGCCUACCAAGGCGACGACGGGUAGCCGGCCUGAGAGGGUGACCGGCCACACUGGGACUGAGACACGGCCCAGACUCCUACGGGAGGCAGCAGUGGGGAAUAUUGCACAAUGGGCGAAAGCCUGAUGCAGCGACGCCGCGUGAGGGAUGACGGCCUUCGGGUUGUAAACCUCUUUCAGCACGGAAGAAGCGAAAGUGACGGUACGUGCAGAAGAAGCGCCGGCUAACUACGUGCCAGCAGCCGCGGUAA
RNAcentral lists this ribosomal RNA (490 nucleotides) under uncultured bacterium. RNAcentral's name for it is "partial 16S ribosomal RNA". It matches the Rfam family "Bacterial small subunit ribosomal RNA", at positions 28 to 523 of the family's 1533-position model. The record is from RNAcentral.